This 478-nucleotide non-coding RNA is filed under the name Pan troglodytes (chimpanzee). Lineage: Eukaryota; Metazoa; Chordata; Mammalia; Primates; Hominidae. The record is from RNAcentral.
CAGUUUCCAGAAAAUUCGGUUCAAUUCCUUCACCACGGACCCACCAACCAAGGAGCUGGCAAAACCCGCUAACCAACCAGGAGAACACAGACCCGCCGUUUCCUCUCCCUCGCCGGCCUCGGCGGAGAUUCCAGGCCCUAUAGAAACCAGGACGUCCCUUAGCGCCACCGCCUCACAUGCCAGUGCUGCCGGGAACCCAGCGAUAUCCGCACCAGCGGAGAAGGUUCCAGGCUGCCGGCGGCGGCGCGGAGAGCGGGAAGAGAGGCUCGGAGGAAGCCCCGGGCGUGGCGUGGUCAGGCUCCGAGAGCGGCCGGGAUGCGGCCACACCGGCCUGGUAAACUCGUACCUCUUAGGAUCUUGCUCCCGGACUCAUUCCCUUCCCCACCCCCUAUUUUAAAGUUUUAUUUGGGUCGUCUGUAUCAAUUUAGAACGAGAUAAAUUAAGACAAAGAAAGUAAAAUAAAUCGAAAUAAAAUAUA